Rattus norvegicus (Norway rat) is the source of this 69-nucleotide non-coding RNA. NCBI's taxonomy places the organism in Eukaryota, Metazoa, Chordata, Mammalia, Rodentia, Muridae. The record is from Rfam.
GGGGAUUUAGCUCAGCGGUAGAGCGCUUGCCUAGCGAGCACAAGGCCCUGGGUUCGGUCCCCAGCUCCG